RNAcentral lists this ribosomal RNA (408 nucleotides) under uncultured bacterium. RNAcentral describes it as "partial 16S ribosomal RNA". It matches the Rfam family "Bacterial small subunit ribosomal RNA", at positions 29 to 526 of the family's 1533-position model. The record is from RNAcentral.
AGUGAACGCUGGCGGCGUGCCUAAUACAUGCAAGUCGAACGAAGUGGCGCACGGGCGAGUAAUAUAUAGUUAAUCUGCCCUACACAGAGGAACAACAGUUGGAAACAACUGCUAAUACCUCAUAUUGUUGGAUGAGACGAUAUCGUAUCAGCUAGUUGGUAAGGUAAUGGCUUACCAAGGGUAUGACGCGUAACUGGUCUGAGAGGAUGAUCAGUCAAAUUGGAACGGAGACACGGUCCAAACUCCUUCGGGAGGCAGCAGUAAGGAAUAAUGCGCAAUGGGGGAAACCCUGACGCGGCAUCGCCUCGUGGAGGAUGACACUUUUCGGAGCAUAAACUCCUUUUAUCAGGAAAGCGGUACCUGAUGAAUAAGCACCGGCUAACUCCGUGCCAGCAGCCGCGGUAAUUC